UACGUAGGCAGCAAGCGUUGUUCGGAAUUACUGGGCGUAAAGAGUGUGUAGGCGGUGCUCUAAGUUUGGUGUGAAAUCUCCCGGCUCAACUGGGAGGGUGCGCCGAAAACUGGAAUGCUUGAACGUGGGAGAGGAAAGCGGAAUUCCUGGUGUAGCGGUGAAAUGCGUAGAUAUCGGAAGGAACAUCAGUGGCGAAAGCGGCUUCCUGGUCCAGCACCGACGUUCAGGCACGAAAGCGUGGGGAGCAAACAGG
RNAcentral lists this ribosomal RNA (253 nucleotides) under uncultured bacterium. RNAcentral describes it as "partial 16S ribosomal RNA". It matches the Rfam family "Bacterial small subunit ribosomal RNA", at positions 524 to 776 of the family's 1533-position model. The record is from RNAcentral.